GUCUCAGUAGCGUAGUGGUUAACGCACGAGCCCCAGACAAGCGCGAGAUGUGGGUUCGAAUCCCGCCUGAGGCG
Molecule: transfer RNA, 74 nt
Filed under: Nippostrongylus brasiliensis
Lineage: Eukaryota; Metazoa; Nematoda; Chromadorea; Rhabditida; Heligmosomidae
Rfam family: tRNA
About the family: Transfer RNA (tRNA) molecules are approximately 80 nucleotides in length. Their secondary structure includes four short double-helical elements and three loops (D, anti-codon, and T loops). Further hydrogen bonds mediate the characteristic L-shaped molecular structure. tRNAs have two regions of fundamental functional importance: the anti-codon, which is responsible for specific mRNA codon recognition, and the 3' end, to which the tRNAs corresponding amino acid is attached (by aminoacyl-tRNA synthetases). tRNAs cope with the degeneracy of the genetic code in two manners: having more than one tRNA (with a specific anti-codon) for a particular amino acid; and 'wobble' base-pairing, i.e. permitting non-standard base-pairing at the 3rd anti-codon position.
Source: Rfam by way of RNAcentral